GAUGAAGAACGUAGCGAAAUGCGAUACGUAAUGUGAAUUGCAAAUUCAGUGAAUCAUCGAGUCUUUGAACGCACAUUGCGCCCCCUGGUAUUCCGGGGGGCAUGCCUGUCCGAGCGUCAUUGCUGCCCUCAAGCACGGCUUGUGUGUUGGGCCCCGUCCUCCGAUCCCGGGGGACGGGCCCGAAAGGCAGCGGCGGCACCGCGUCCGGUCCUCGAGCGUAUGGGGCUUUGUCACCCGCUCUGUAGGCCCGGCCGGCGCUUGCCGAUCAACCCAAAUUUUUAUCCAGGUUGACCUCGGAUCAGGUAGGGAUACCCGCUGAACUUAAGAAUAUCAAUAAGCGGAGGA
Molecule: unclassified non-coding RNA, 345 nt
Filed under: soil metagenome
Description: partial contains 5.8S ribosomal RNA, internal transcribed spacer 2, and large subunit ribosomal RNA
Rfam family: 5.8S ribosomal RNA (bases 1-119)
Source: RNAcentral